GUGAACUAUUCUCAUGUUCCUCCAGCAGCCACAACUGAAGUACUCUAUCAGGACUGCCUUGGAACAUGAAACCAACUUACCACUGUACUUUCCAUCUUGGAUGCUGAAGUUCUAGGGUAGGGUUGUCAGUAAAAUGCAGGACACCCAGUUAAAUUUAAAUUUCAAAUAAAUAAGAAAUAAUUUUUAGCCAUUAUUAUGGAGUUCUAGACCUGGUGUGGGGAGUAUGGGGAUCAACCUCAGAAGCCUCCAGAGAGAGAUCGGUGGACUCUAGGAGUGUCAAUCUCAGACUGACCAUCGCUGGGGCCACAUUCAAGCAGCAGCCCUUUGUCCAGAGCCAUUUCCUCCACUGGCCUCAGUUCCUGUAGGGCCCAGAUGGUGCUGAAGUCAGAUGCCAAGGGGAAAGUGACUUUACCCAAGAGAGAGAUUUUUAAAUAUUCCCCCAACUGCUCUGAUGGGACCGUCUAGUUGCAGGAAAACAAGCUCAAGGCUCCCACUGAUUCUACAUUACAGUGAGUUGCAUAAUCAUUUCAUUAUAUAUUACAAUGUAAUAAUAAUAGAAAUAAAGUGCACAAUAAAUGUAAUGCACUUGAAUCAUCCCGAAACCAUCCCUCCCCAGUCCAUGGAAAAACUGUCUUCCCUGGUGCCAAAAAGGUUGACCGCUGUUCUGCAGCAAGGUCUUUAAACAAUGCCUGGGACAUAGACAAUCCCUCAGAAAGAUGCUUAUCUAAUGUUCCCAGUGGUCAUGACUUUUGGCAAGAAAGUCUGAGAUGUGACCGGCUGCACAUGACUUUACCUAAAAGCUUGCUAUGUGAAGGACACUUUCUGGAGAGUGGGUGUAGGAAUUCAUUGUUUCACUGCUGCCCAAGACAGCACUACUGUUUGUAAGCCCCUAUUAAAUAUUUCUUUCUGAGAAA
RNAcentral lists this non-coding RNA (914 nucleotides) under Pongo abelii (Sumatran orangutan). Lineage: Eukaryota; Metazoa; Chordata; Mammalia; Primates; Hominidae. The record is from RNAcentral.